Molecule: ribosomal RNA, 253 nt
Filed under: uncultured bacterium
Lineage: Bacteria
Description: partial 16S ribosomal RNA
Rfam family: Bacterial small subunit ribosomal RNA
Source: RNAcentral
UACGGGGGGGGCAAGCGUUGUUCGGAAUUACUGGGCGUAAAGCGCGUGUAGGCGGCUAUGCAAGUCGGGCGUGAAAUCCCACGGCUCAACCGUGGAAGUGCACUCGAAACUGCGUAGCUAGAGUCUCGGAGAGGAAGGUGGAAUACUUGGUGUAGAGGUGAAAUUCGUAGAUAUCAAGUGGAACACCGGUGGCGAAGGCGGCCUUCUGGACGAUGACUGACGCUGAGACGCGAAAGCGUGGGGAGCAAACAGG